UCCCAGUUCGGACUGGAGUCUGCAACCCGACUCCACGAAGUUGGAUUCGCUAGUAAUCGCGCAUCAGCCAUGGCGCGGUGAAUACGUUCCCGGGCCUUGUACACACCGCCCGUCAAGCCAUGGGAGCCGGGGGCGCCUGAAGUCCGGGACCGCGAGGACCGGCCUAGGGCGAAACUGGUGACUGGGGCUAAGUCGUAACAAGGUACC
Molecule: ribosomal RNA, 207 nt
Filed under: uncultured bacterium
Lineage: Bacteria
Description: partial 16S ribosomal RNA
Rfam family: Bacterial small subunit ribosomal RNA
Source: RNAcentral